GCUUACGGCCAUACCACCCUGAACACGCCCGAUCUCGUCUGAUCUCGGAAGCUCAGCAGGGUCGGGCCUGGUUAGUACUUGGAUGGGAGACCGCCUGGGAAUACCAGGUGCUGUAAGCUUUU
This 122-nucleotide ribosomal RNA is filed under the name Cynoglossus semilaevis (tongue sole). Lineage: Eukaryota; Metazoa; Chordata; Actinopteri; Pleuronectiformes; Cynoglossidae. The record is from RNAcentral.